Molecule: ribosomal RNA, 843 nt
Filed under: Streptomyces sp.
Lineage: Bacteria; Bacillati; Actinomycetota; Actinomycetes; Kitasatosporales; Streptomycetaceae
Description: bacterial SSU rRNA
Rfam family: Bacterial small subunit ribosomal RNA
Source: RNAcentral
UGUUUCUGGCUCAGGACGAACGCUGGCGGCGUGCUUAACACAUGCAAGUCGAACGGUGAAGCCCUUCGGGGUGGAUCAGUGGCGAACGGGUGAGUAACACGUGGGCAAUCUGCCCUGCACUCUGGGACAAGCCCUGGAAACGGGGUCUAAUACCGGAUAUUACUGUCGCAGGCAUCUGUGAUGGUGGAAAGCUCCGGCGGUGCAGGAUGAGCCCGCGGCCUAUCAGCUUGUUGGUGGGGUGAUGGCCUACCAAGGCGACGACGGGUAGCCGGCCUGAGAGGGCGACCGGCCACACUGGGACUGAGACACGGCCCAGACUCCUACGGGAGGCAGCAGUGGGGAAUAUUGCACAAUGGGCGAAAGCCUGAUGCAGCGACGCCGCGUGAGGGAUGACGGCCUUCGGGUUGUAAACCUCUUUCAGCAGGGAAGAAGCGAAAGUGACGGUACCUGCAGAAGAAGCACCGGCUAACUACGUGCCAGCAGCCGCGGUAAUACGUAGGGUGCGAGCGUUGUCCGGAAUUAUUGGGCGUAAAGAGCUCGUAGGCGGCUUGUCGCGUCGGAUGUGAAAGCCCGGGGCUUAACUCCGGGUCUGCAUUCGAUACGGGCAGGCUAGAGUUCGGUAGGGGAGAUCGGAAUUCCUGGUGUAGCGGUGAAAUGCGCAGAUAUCAGGAGGAACACCGGUGGCGAAGGCGGAUCUCUGGGCCGAUACUGACGCUGAGGAGCGAAAGCGUGGGGAGCGAACAGGAUUAGAUACCCUGGUAGUCCACGCCGUAAACGUUGGGAACUAGGUGUGGGCGACAUUCCACGUCGUCCGUGCCGCAGCUAACGCAUUAAGUCCCCGCC